Molecule: ribosomal RNA, 502 nt
Filed under: uncultured bacterium
Lineage: Bacteria
Description: bacterial SSU rRNA
Rfam family: Bacterial small subunit ribosomal RNA
Source: RNAcentral
GGCGUGCCUAAUACAUGCAAGUCGAGCGAGCGGAACUAACAGAUUUACUUCGGUAAUGACGUUAGGAAAGCGAGCGGCGGAUGGGUGAGUAACACGUGGGGAACCUGCCCCAUAGUCUGGGAUACCACUUGGAAACAGGUGCUAAUACCGGAUAAGAAAGCAGAUCGCAUGAUCAGCUUUUAAAAGGCGGCGUAAGCUGUCGCUAUGGGAUGGCCCCGCGGUGCAUUAGCUAGUUGGUAAGGUAAAGGCUUACCAAGGCGAUGAUGCAUAGCCGAGUUGAGAGACUGAUCGGCCACAUUGGGACUGAGACACGGCCCAAACUCCUACGGGAGGCAGCAGUAGGGAAUCUUCCACAAUGGACGCAAGUCUGAUGGAGCAACGCCGCGUGAGUGAAGAAGGUUUUCGGAUCGUAAAGCUCUGUUGUUGGUGAAGAAGGAUAGAGGUAGUAACUGGCCUUUAUUUUGACGGUAAUCAACCAGAAAGUCACGGCUAACUACGUGCC